Molecule: long non-coding RNA, 276 nt
Organism: Aphis gossypii (cotton aphid)
Lineage: Eukaryota; Metazoa; Arthropoda; Insecta; Hemiptera; Aphididae
Exons: 3
Source: RefSeq, a predicted model, not a curated record
CUCAAAGGAUGUCCAAAUACUUUUAUAUGUUAUACAUGAUUUAACUUAACGAGGAAAUAACAUAGUUUUCAUUCCACUUGACGUAUACGUUAAUCUAAAAUUUAGAUUAUAGAUGAGUGGAAACUAUUGAACCUUUAUAAAUAGCGUUUAUCACAAUAUUACGAGAAAACACAUGUAUUGGGAUUAUCCGAAAUGUGGUUAAUAGCUAACAGUCUGAAUCAUAGUUUGACAAGAACCACAAACAUUACAAAAUCGUUGUUCGGGGAAAUUAAUAAG